Deltaproteobacteria bacterium RBG_16_50_11 is the source of this 184-nucleotide non-coding RNA. The record is from Rfam. Lineage: Bacteria; Deltaproteobacteria.
UUGCAGGUGAGAGUCCUGCCCCAGGAAUUGCCUAUUUACCUGGGUAGUUAUAUCCGACUUAGAAGGAGGUGACGAAUUCUAAGGAAGCUCGGAAGUAAAAAAAAAGCUCGUUGGGCUUUUCCUCGGUAAAGAGGAAGGUUCAGGUCGGCACAGGAGCUGAGCAACACCGGGGGCCGCAGCGUGA